ACUCCUACGGGAGGCAGCAGUGGGAGUAUUGCACAAUGGCGCAAGCCAUGCAUGCAGCCAUGCCGCGUGUGUGAAGAAGGCCUUCGGUUGUAAAGCACUUUCAGUCGUGAGGAAGGUAGUGUAGUUAAUAGCUGCAUUAUUUGACGUUAGCGACAGAAGAAGCACCGGCUAACUCCGUGCCAGCAGCCGCGGUAAUACGG
Molecule: ribosomal RNA, 200 nt
Filed under: uncultured bacterium
Lineage: Bacteria
Description: partial 16S ribosomal RNA
Rfam family: Bacterial small subunit ribosomal RNA
Source: RNAcentral